RNAcentral lists this ribosomal RNA (443 nucleotides) under uncultured bacterium. Its description in RNAcentral is "partial 16S ribosomal RNA". It matches the Rfam family "Bacterial small subunit ribosomal RNA", at positions 338 to 795 of the family's 1533-position model. The record is from RNAcentral.
CCUACGGGCGGCAGCAGUCGGGGAUAUUGGACAAUGGGGGGAACCCUGAUCCAGCGACGCCGCGUGAGUGAAGAAGUAUUUCGGUAUGUAAAGCUCUGUCCGCAGGGAAGAAAGUAAUGACGGUACCUGACCAAGAAGCCCCGGCUAACUACGGGCCAGCAGCCGCGGUAAUACUGAGGGGGCAAGCGUUAUUCGGAAUUACUGGGGGGAAAGGGAGCGUAGACGGUUGAGUAAGUCUGGAGUGAAAGGCCGGGGCGCAACCCCGGGACGGCUCUGGAAACUAUUGCACUUGAGGGAAGGAGAGGUAAGCGGAAUUCCGAGUGUAGCAGUGAAAUGCGUAGAUAUUAGGAGGAACACUAGUGGCGAAGGCGGGUUACUGGACUGUAACUGACGUUGAGGCACGAAAGCGUGGGGAGCAAACAGGAUUAGAUACCCUAGUAGUC